RNAcentral lists this ribosomal RNA (332 nucleotides) under uncultured bacterium. RNAcentral describes it as "bacterial SSU rRNA". It matches the Rfam family "Bacterial small subunit ribosomal RNA", at positions 103 to 450 of the family's 1533-position model. The record is from RNAcentral.
CGGGUGAGUAAGAUUUGGGAAACUACCUGAUAGAGGGGGACAACAGUUGGAAACGACUGCUAAUACCGCAUACAGCCUCAGGGUGAAAGAAGGAAUUCGCUAUCAGAUGUGCCCAAACGGGAUUAGCUAGUAGGUGAGGUAAAGGCUCACCUAGGCGACGAUCUCUAGCUGGUCUGAGAGGAUGAUCAGCCACAUUGGGACUGAGACACGGCCCAGACUCCUACGGGAGGCAGCAGUAGGGAAUAUUGCACAAUGGAGGAAACUCUGAUGCAGCCAUGCCGCGUGUGUGAAGAAGGCCUUCGGGUUGUAAAGCACUUUCGGAGGGGAGGAAG